This 217-nucleotide ribosomal RNA is filed under the name uncultured bacterium. RNAcentral's name for it is "partial 16S ribosomal RNA". It matches the Rfam family "Bacterial small subunit ribosomal RNA", at positions 524 to 738 of the family's 1533-position model. The record is from RNAcentral.
UACGUAGGGUGCAAGCGUUAAUCGGAAUUACUGGGCGUAAAGCGUGCGCAGGCGGUUAUGUAAGACAGGUGUGAAAUCCCCGGGCUUAACCUGGGAACUGCAUUUGUGACUGCAUAGCUAGAGUACGGUAGAGGGGGAUGGAAUUCCGCGUGUAGGCAGUGAAAUGCGUAGAUAUCGGGAGGAACACCAGUGGCGAAGGCGGGCGCCCUGGGCCAAU